GACGAACGCUGGCGGCGUUGCUUAACACAUGCAAGUCGAACGAUGAAAGAGAAUCCGAUCUCUUCGGAGUGAAGAAUCUCUGGAUUAGUGGCGGACGGGUGAGUAACGCGUGAGCAAUCUGCCUUACACAAAGGGAUAGCCUCGGGAAACCGGGAUUAAUACCAUAUGAUAUCUAUUAACCGCAUGGUUUAUAGAUUAAAGAAUUUCGGUGUAAGAUGAGCUCGCGUCCCAUUAAUUAGUUGGUGAGGGUAACGGCCCACCAAGAUAGCGAUGGGUAGCCGAUCUAAGAGGAUGACCGGCCACAUUGGAACUGAGAAACGGUCCAAACUCCUACGGGAGGCAGCAGUGGGGAAUAUUGCACAAUGGGGGAAACCCUGAUGCAGCGACGCCGCGUGAGCGAUGAAGGCUUUCGAGUCGUAAAGCUCUGUCCUGUGGGAAGAUAAUGACGGUACCAUAGAAGAAAGCCCCGGCUAAUUACGUGCCAGCCGCCGCGGUAA
This 497-nucleotide ribosomal RNA is filed under the name uncultured Eubacteriales bacterium. RNAcentral's name for it is "bacterial SSU rRNA". It matches the Rfam family "Bacterial small subunit ribosomal RNA", at positions 28 to 523 of the family's 1533-position model. Lineage: Bacteria; Bacillati; Bacillota; Clostridia; Eubacteriales. The record is from RNAcentral.